RNAcentral lists this ribosomal RNA (305 nucleotides) under uncultured bacterium. RNAcentral describes it as "bacterial SSU rRNA". It matches the Rfam family "Bacterial small subunit ribosomal RNA", at positions 337 to 640 of the family's 1533-position model. The record is from RNAcentral.
UCCUACGGGACGCAGCAGUGAGGAAUAUUGGUCAAUGGGCGCGAGCCUGAACCAGCCAAGUCGCGUGAGGGAAGACGGUCCUAUGGAUUGUAAACCUCUUUUGUCGGGGAGCAAAAGACGCCACGCGUGGCGUUCCGAGAGUACCCGAAGAAAAAGCAUCGGCUAACUCCGUGCCAGCAGCCGCGGUAAUACGGAGGAUGCGAGCGUUAUCCGGAUUUAUUGGGUUUAAGGGGUGCGCAGGCGGAAGAUCAAGUCAGCGGUAAAAUUGAGAGGCUCAACCCCUUCGAGCCGUUGAAACUGGUUUU